UGGGGAAUAUUGGACAAUGGGCGCAAGCCUGAUCCAGCCAUGCCGCGUGGAUGAAGAAGGCCCUAGGGUUGUAAAGUCCUUUCGACGGAGACGAUAAUGACGGUAUCCGUAGAAGAAGCCCCGGCUAAUUUCGUGCCAGCAGCCGCGGUAAUACGAAAGGGGCUAGCGUUGUUCGGAAUUACUGGGCGUAAAGCGCACGUAGGCGGUCGUGUAAGAUGGGGGUGAAAUCCCGGAGCUCAACUCCGGAACUGCCUUCAUGACUGCAUGGCUAGAGGAUGCGAGAGGUUGGCGGAAUUCCGAGUGUAGAGGUGAAAUGCGUAGAUAUCUGGAGGAACACCGGUGGCGAAGGCGACAUCCUGGACCAAUUCUGACGCUGAGGAGCGAAAGCCAGGGGAGCAAACGGGAUUAGAUACCCCAGUAGUCCCUGAGCGGGCUGGCAAGGCGCAU
Molecule: ribosomal RNA, 447 nt
Filed under: uncultured bacterium
Lineage: Bacteria
Description: bacterial SSU rRNA
Rfam family: Bacterial small subunit ribosomal RNA
Source: RNAcentral